AUCGCUUCUCGGCCUUUUGGCUAAGAUCAAGUGUAGUGAAUAAAGGACGUAUGGAACAAUACAUAUAGUAUAAUUUCAUCUAUUUUUAGUUAAAAAAUUUUU
This 102-nucleotide small nuclear RNA is filed under the name Rhinolophus ferrumequinum (greater horseshoe bat). RNAcentral's name for it is "U2 spliceosomal RNA (ENSRFEG00010005926.1)". It matches the Rfam family "U2 spliceosomal RNA". Rfam says of the family: U2 is a small nuclear RNA (snRNA) component of the spliceosome (involved in pre-mRNA splicing). Complementary binding between U2 snRNA (in an area lying towards the 5' end but 3' to hairpin I) and the branchpoint sequence (BPS) of the intron results the bulging out of an unpaired adenosine, on the BPS, which initiates a nucleophilic attack at the intronic 5' splice site, thus starting the first of two transesterification reactions that mediate splicing. The record is from Rfam by way of RNAcentral. Lineage: Eukaryota; Metazoa; Chordata; Mammalia; Chiroptera; Rhinolophidae.